Molecule: small RNA, 1567 nt
Filed under: Pongo abelii (Sumatran orangutan)
Lineage: Eukaryota; Metazoa; Chordata; Mammalia; Primates; Hominidae
Description: retained intron
Source: RNAcentral
GCGGGCGCAGGCGGCCGGGAUGGCGGGGCCCGGCUGGGGUCCCCCGCGCCUGGACGGCUUCAUCCUCACCGAGCGCCUGGGCAGCGGCACGUACGCCACGGUGUACAAGGCCUACGCCAAGAAGGACACUCGUGAGGUGGUAGCCAUAAAGUGUGUAGCCAAGAAAAGUCUGAACAAGGCAUCGGUGGAGAACCUCCUCACGGAGAUUGAGAUCCUCAAGGGCAUUCGACAUCCCCACAUUGUGCAGCUGAAAGACUUUCAGUGGGACAGUGACAAUAUCUACCUCAUCAUGGAGUUUUGCGCAGGGGGCGACCUGUCUCGCUUCAUCCAUACCCGCAGGAUUCUGCCUGAGAAGGUGGCGCGUGUCUUCAUGCAGCAGUUAGCGCCCUGCAAUUCCUGCAUGAACGGAGUAUCUCUCACCUGGAUCUGAAGCCACAGAACAUUCUACUGAGCUCCUUGGAGAAGCCCCACCUAAAACUGGCAGACUUUGGUUUCGCACAACACAUGUCCCCGUGGGAUGAGAAGCACGUGCUCCGUGGCUCCCCCCUCUACAUGGCCCCCGAGAUGGUGUGCCAGCGGCAGUAUGACGCCCGCGUGGACCUCUGGUCCGUGGGGGUCAUCCUGUAUGGUGAGACCUCUUUUCCCUGCUUCUCACCCUGAGGCCUACACUGUUUCCUCAGGCAAGGCCUCUCUAGGCCACUUCUGAAGGGUUCUGAUGAAAACUGACUGCUGGCCCAGGGCCCCUGCUGAGGGGCGUCAGGCCAGGCUUGACCCAUUCCAUCCCAGCCUUCGCUCUGCCUCCCUUCCACAGAAGCCCUCUUCGGGCAGCCCCCCUUUGCCUCCAGGUCGUUCUCAGAGCUGGAAGAGAAGAUCCGUAGCAACCGGGUCAUUGAGCUCCCCUUGCGGCCCCUGCUCUCCCGAGACUGCCGGGACCUACUGCAGCGGCUCCUGGAGCGGGACCCCAGCCGUCGCAUCUCCUUCCAGGACUUCUUUGCGCACCCCUGGGUGGACCUGGAGCACAUGCCCAGUGGGGAGAGUCUGGGGCGAGCAACCGCCCUGGUGGUGCAGGCUGUGAAGAAAGACCAGGAGGGGGAUGCAGCAGCCGCCUUAUCACUCUACUGCAAGGCUCUGGACUUCUUCGUACCUGCCCUGCACUAUGAAGUGGAUGCCCAGCGGAAGGAGGCAAUUAAGGCAAAGGUGGGGCAGUACGUGUCCCGGGCUGAGGAGCUCAAGGCCAUCGUCUCCUCUUCCAAUCAGGCCCUGCUGAGGCAGGGGACCUCCGCCCGAGACCUGCUCAGAGAGAUGGCCCGGGACAAGCCACGCCUCCUAGCUGCCCUGGAAGUGGCUUCAGCUGCCAUGGCCAAGCGGAGCCCCCGGGCCGGAGGCGAGAGCUGCUUCACACUGAGGUUCAGAACCUCAUGGCCCGAGCUGAAUACCUGAAGGAGCAGGCCAAGAUGAGGGAAUCUCGCUGGGAAGCUGACACCCUGGACAAAGAGGGACUGUCGGAAUCUGUUCGUAGCUCUUGCACCCUUCAGUGACCCUAGAAGAAUGAUUGGACAGACGUGAG